Long non-coding RNA from Rhinichthys klamathensis goyatoka, 1567 nucleotides. RefSeq lists it as uncharacterized. The transcript is spliced from 3 exons. NCBI's taxonomy places the organism in Eukaryota, Metazoa, Chordata, Actinopteri, Cypriniformes, Leuciscidae. The record is from RefSeq and is a predicted model, not a curated record.
UUUUUUUAACCCCAGGGGAUCAUUAUUGUUUUUCUCUCUCAGCAUGUAAAUUAUUCCUAAAGCUCAUGAUUGAAAAACAUAAUUACCAUUCAGCACAGGAAGUAAUUUAUACUUCCUGUAUGAUGGAUCCUGUCUUUACAGAAGCCCUGCCCACAAGUUUCUCCGGGGUCUUAGCAGAUAUCAUAUUGAACUAUCAUAUAAUGGCCUCUGAUGUGCUCUGAUUCCACUAAGGUUUUCAACCAUAUCGCAGAUUUCCCAAGCUUCAUCCAUCAGGAUCACUCUCUGGGUACAACUGCCUUUUUUCCUUGUCAGACUAUAACUUUAGUGUGCUGUGACAUUAAAACCACAUCUUGCUGAAAACCACAAACAGUGGAAAGCAAAGCAUGGGAAAGCCUGGACUCUGCCAAUGAAUCACCAGUGGACUCAUAGAACUGCAGUCCCUUUAUCUGCGUCUGCCCAAUGGGGGAAAGGUGGGUUCACAGACUACUAAGUGCACUCUCGUCCGCGAGUACCCUGUAAUAAUCUUCCCUCUGUGCAUUUUUGCUGUUAUGCUGCCAUCGAACACUUGAUUUUUCAAAGCUCCCUGUUUAAUGUCAAUAUGUCAACAGCAGAUCUUGAGUGACUGUCAUCUUUCUCCGAUUGUUUUCAACAGCGGAUCUGGAAAGAGGCCACUUAGAAACCCCAAAACUCUAAGAGCAGGAUGCAUGUUCAGAUGGGUGGGCCCUGAAUCCCUAAAGUCAUCCCAAAAUUCUCAUCUGUGAUUGGCCAUUUCCCAAGUCAGGGAUAGGAUGUUCAAUAAAAUCUCCUUGAUUUGAACUGGGGCGGGAAGCAUGUGUUAAAAAAAAUACAGAUUCAAUUGGACUUCGGCCAUCCAAAAUAAAUAUCCAAUGCACUCGCCUAGCGCUCUUUGCAAAGAUGCAAAUGGAUUCAACCUGAGACCCAGGAGCCUGUAAGGAAGCCCAGGUGGAUUGGAUCGAUGGCCGUGACGAGGCUAUAAUGUGAAGAGUCAGCACAUGAAUAGGAAGGCUGCAGCAGGAAGCGAAGGACAGUUCUUCAGGAACUGGAGAAACAGCUGGUCACUGGCCUGGACUGUGCGUGUUCCCCAGGCCUGUGAUCUCAUUCGCACGAUGGACGUCCCUUGACGUGGCGAAACAGCAUCUGACUUUUCGUUCAUCACUAAAUCAAGCUGAUGAUCAGGAGCAAGUCCAACCAGCUCACAUCAUGCAGACAUUUUAUAAAGUUGUAUCCACUCAAGCUUGACUUUAUGUGUUUUUGUGUAUUUGCAGAACUGUUUUAUGGGGUAUAAUGAGAGCGGAGAGUCAUUCAGUGGACAGACCAACAUUAACUCAUAUACAGAAGAGAACAUAAACUGAGGUACUGUGUCUCAAAAUGGGCUCUGCAAGGGUAAAGGAACAUGUCAAAAUCUACAUAUUUUAUAUUAUUAUGGUUUCACUCUGCUCUGGACGGAUUGGUCGAACAUCGUAGAUUAAUCACAAAACAUUUUCAUUCUAUUGUCAAUUUCUUUUUAGUUUUAUACAUCUAAACAGUAUUCAAAUGGUCCUUCAUA